GAUCAAGUGUCUUAAGGGCAUUCGGUGGAUGCCUUGGCGACAAGAGGCGAUGAAGGACGUGAUACGCUGCGAUAAGUCAUGGGGAGCUGCGAAUAAGCUUUGAUCCGUGAAUUUCCGAAUGGGGGAACCCACUCCGUAUGGAGUACCCGCAAGGGAGCAAACCCGGGGAACUGAAACAUCUAAGUACCCGGAGGAAAGGACAUCAACCGAGACUCCGCUAGUAGUGGCGAGCGAACGCGGACCAGGCCAGUGGCUAAGAUUUAAGAACCGGAACCGUCUGGAAAGUCGGGCCUUAGUGGGUGAUAGCCCCGUACGGGUAGAAAUUAUCUUAGUCCUCGAGUAGGGCGGGACACGUGAAAUCCUGUCUGAACGUGGGGGGACCACCCUCCAAGCCUAAGUACUCCUUGUCGACCGAUAGCGAACAAGUACCGUGAGGGAAAGGUGAAAAGUACCCCGACGAGGGGAGUGAAACAGUUCCUGAAACCGGAUGCCUACAAACAGUUGGAGGGCGCAAGCCUGACAGCGUACCUUUUGUAUAAUGGGUCAGCGACUUAAUUUAACGAGCAAGCUUAAGCCGAUAGGUGUAGGCGCAGCGAAAGCGAGUCUGAAUAGGGCGUCAAGUUCGUUGGAUUAGACCCGAAACCGAGUGAUCUAGCCAUGGCCAGGUUGAAGGUGCGGUAACACGCACUGGAGGACCGAACCCACGCCUGUUGAAAAAGUCGGGGAUGAGCUGUGGCUAGGGGUGAAAGGCCAAUCAAACUCGGAAAUAGCUGGUUCUCCGCGAAAUCUAUUUAGGUAGAGCGUCGGAUGAAUACUCUCGGGGGUAGAGCACUGGAUGGGCUAUGGGGGCUUACCGCCUUACUGAUCCUAACCAAACUCCGAAUACCGAGAAGUACUAUCCGGCAGACACACAGUGGGUGCUAACGUCCAUUGUGGAGAGGGAAACAACCCUGACCGCCAGUUAAGGUCCCUAAGUUAUGGCUAAGUGGGAAAGGAUGUAGAACUCCCAAAACAACCAGGAUGUUGGCUUAGAAGCAGCCAUCAUUUAAAGAAAGCGUAACAGCUCACUGGUCUAAAUAAGGGGUUCCGCGCCGAAAAUGUACCGGGGCUCAAGCCAUACACCGAAACUGCGGGUGCACGUAAGUGCGCGGUAGCGGAGCGUUCUGUAAGUCUGCGAAGGGAGACCCGCGAGGGCUCCUGGAGAUAUCAGAAGUGCGAAUGCUGACAUGAGUAACGAUAAAGCGGGUGAGAGACCCGCUCGCCGAAAGUCCAAGGGUUCCUGCGCAACGCUAAUCGGCGCAGGGUUAGCCGGCCCCUAAGGCGAGGCCGAAAGGCGUAGUCGAUGGGAAUGCAGUUAAUAUUCUGCAGCUUGGUGGUAGUGACGGAUGCCGUGUGUUGUCUUCCCUUAUUGGAUUGGGAAGGCUUCGAAGGUGUUCCAGGAAAUAGCUCCACCGUAUAAACCGUACCCGAAACCGACACAGGUGGACUGGUAGAGCAUACCAAGGCGCUUGAGAGAACUAUGCUGAAGGAACUCGGCAAAAUGCUCCCGUAAGUUCGCGAGAAGGGAGACCUCUUUCUGGGCAACCGGAAAGGGGUGGCACAGACCAGGGGGUGGCGACUGUUUAUCAAAAACACAGGGCUCUGCGAAGCCGCAAGGCGACGUAUAGGGUCUGACGCCUGCCCGGUGCUGGAAGGUUAAGAGGAGGUGUGCAAGCACCGAAUUGAAGCCCCAGUAAACGGCGGCCGUAACUAUAACGGUCCUAAGGUAGCGAAAUUCCUUGUCGGGUAAGUUCCGACCUGCACGAAUGGCGUAACGACUUCCCCGCUGUCUCCAGCAUAGGCUCAGUGAAAUUGAAUUCCCCGUGAAGAUGCGGGGUUCCUGCGGUCAGACGGAAAGACCCCGUGCACCUUUACUACAGCUUCACACUGGUAUUCGUCACGACAUGUGUAGGAUAGGUGGUAGACGUUGAAGCAGGAGCGCCAGCUCUUGUGGAGUCACCCUUGAAAUACCACCCUUGUCGUCAUGGAUAUCUAACCGCGGUACAACAAUAUCCGGGACCGUGUGUGGCGGGUAGUUUGACUGGGGCGGUCGCCUCCCAAAUGGUAACGGAGGCGCGCGAAGGUGGGCUCAGAGCGGUCGGAAAUCGCUCGUUGAGUGCAAUGGCAUAAGCCUGCCUGACUGCGAGACUGACAAGUCGAGCAGAGUCGAAAGACGGCCAUAGUGAUCCGGUGGUCCCUCGUGGAAGGGCCAUCGCUCAACGGAUAAAAGGUACGCCGGGGAUAACAGGCUGAUGAUGCCCAAGAGUCCAUAUCGACGGCAUUGUUUGGCACCUCGAUGUCGACUCAUCACAUCCUGGGGCUGGAGCAGGUCCCAAGGGUUUGGCUGUUCGCCAAUUAAAGUGGUACGUGAGUUGGGUUCAGAACGUCGCGAGACAGUUCGGUCCCUAUCUGCCGUGGGUGUAGGAGAAUUGAGAGGAUCUGUCCCUAGUACGAGAGGACCGGGAUGGACGUACCUCUGGUGGACCUGUUGUGGCGCCAGCCGCAUUGCAGGGUAGCUAUGUACGGAAGGGAUAACCGCUGAAAGCAUCUAAGCGGGAAACCCACCUCAAAACCAGCUCUCCCUGAAGAGCCGUGGUAGACCACCACGUCGAUAGGAAGCGUGUGGAAGUGUGGCAACACAUGAAGCUUAGCUUUACUAAUAGCUCGUUCGGCUUGAUCCU
RNAcentral lists this ribosomal RNA (2720 nucleotides) under Roseibium aggregatum. RNAcentral's name for it is "23S ribosomal RNA". It matches the Rfam family "Bacterial large subunit ribosomal RNA". The record is from RNAcentral. Lineage: Bacteria; Pseudomonadati; Pseudomonadota; Alphaproteobacteria; Hyphomicrobiales; Stappiaceae.